RNAcentral lists this ribosomal RNA (254 nucleotides) under uncultured bacterium. RNAcentral describes it as "partial 16S ribosomal RNA". It matches the Rfam family "Bacterial small subunit ribosomal RNA", at positions 524 to 776 of the family's 1533-position model. The record is from RNAcentral.
GACGUAGGGCGCGAGCGUUGUCCGGAUUUAUUGGGCGUAAAGAGCUCGUAGGCGGCUUGUCGCGUCGACCGUGAAAACUUGGGGCUCAACCUCAAGCCUGCGGUCGAUACGGGCAGGCUAGAGUUCGGUAGGGGAGACUGGAAUUCCUGGUGUAGCGGUGAAAUGCGUAGAUAUCUGGAGGAACACCGGUGGCGAAGGCGGCAUCCUGGACCAACACUGACGCUGAGUGAGCGAAAGCCAGGGGAGCAAACGGG